AGAGUUUGAUCCUGGCUCAGGAUGAACGCUAGCGGCAGGCUUAAUACAUGCAAGUCGAGGGGCAGCGCGGGUAGCAAUACCUGGCGGCGACCGGCAAACGGGUGAGGAACAUGUACGCAACCUUCCUUUAACUGGAGGAUAGCCCCUCGAAAGAGGGAUUAAUACUCCGUAACAUCCCGACACAGCAUUGUGACGGGAUAUAGCUACGGCGGUUAAAGAUGGGCGUGCACCUGAUUAGAUAGUUGGCGGGGUAACGGCCCACCAAGUCUGCGAUCAGUAACUGGUGUGAGAGCACGACCAGUCACACGGGCACUGAGACACGGGUCCGACUCCUACGGGAGGCAGCAGUAAGGAAUAUUGGUCAAUGGGCGCAAGCCUGAACCAGCCAUCCCGCGUGCAGGAUGAAGGCCCUAUGGGUCGUAAACUGCUUUUAUACACCAAGAAAAACAUCCACGUUGGAUGCUCGACGGUAGUGUAUGAAUAAGCAUCGGCUAACUCCGUGCCAGCAGCCGCGGUAAUACGGAGGAUGCAAGCGUUAUCCGGAUUCAUUGGGUUUAAAGGGUGCGUAGGCGGCUUUUUAAGUCAGUGGUGAAAUCUUGCCGCUUAACGGUAAAAUUGCCAUUGAUACUGAAGAGCUUGAGUACAUUUGAGGUAAGCGGAAUGUGUAGUGUAGCGGUGAAAUGCUUAGAUAUUACACAGAACACCAAUUGCGAAGCAGCUUACUAAACUGUUACUGACGCUGAUGCACGAAAGCGUGGGGAGCGAACAGGAUUAGAUACUCUGGUAGUCCACGCCGUAAACGAUGCUCACUCGCUGUUUGCGAUACACAGCAAGCGGCCAAGCGAAAGCAUUAAGUGAGCCACCUGGGGAGUACGAUCGCAAGGUUGAAACUCAAAGGAAUUGACGGGGGCCCGCACAAGCGGAGGAACAUGUGGUUUAAUUUGAUGAUACGCGAGGAACCUUACCUGGGCUAAAUGUAGAACGACAGAUUGUGAAAGCAGUCCUUCUUCGGACGGUCUACAAGGUGCUGCAUGGUUGUCGUCAGCUCGUGCCGUGAGGUGUCGGGUUAAGUCCCAUAACGAGCGCAACCCUUAUCGUUAGUUGCCAGCGGGUUAAGCCGGGGACUCUAGCGAGACUGCCACCGUAAGGUGUGAGGAAGGUGGGGAUGACGUCAAAUCAGCACGGCCCUUAUGUCCAAGGCUACACACGUGUUACAAUGGCCGAUACAAAGGCAGCUACCAGGUGACUGGAUGCUAAUCUCCAAAGUCGGUCUCAGUUCGGAUCGAAGUCUGCAACCCGACUUCGUGAAGCUGGAUUCGCUAGUAAUCGCAUAUCAGCCAUGAUGCGGUGAAUACGUUCCCGGGCCUUGUACACACCGCCCGUCAAACAAUGGAAGCUGGGGGUACCUGAAGUCUGUAACCGCAAGGAGCGGCCUAGGGUAAAACUAGUAACUGGUGUUAAGUCGUAACAAGGUAACC
This 1478-nucleotide ribosomal RNA is filed under the name uncultured bacterium. RNAcentral's name for it is "bacterial SSU rRNA". It matches the Rfam family "Bacterial small subunit ribosomal RNA". The record is from RNAcentral.